This 210-nucleotide long non-coding RNA is filed under the name Trifolium pratense (red clover). RNAcentral describes it as "long non-coding RNA (TPRA_LNC004752)". The record is from RNAcentral. Lineage: Eukaryota; Viridiplantae; Streptophyta; Magnoliopsida; Fabales; Fabaceae.
AACGGAAGCGCUAGGUUAGCAAAACGCUAAACCUAAUUGAUAAAGACAAGCCGCAAGCACAAACUUGUCAAGAUAGGGUUUCGGAGUCCACCGAAAAUUGAGAUAAAACUCGAAUAUUUUAUUGAAUAAAAAACUGCUCCUCAAGGCUACAAUGGUUUAGUUUAAAUAGUAAGGGAAAUAAUAAAAAUAGUAAAUCUAGAAUAAUAAAAA